UGGGGAAUCUUGGACAAUGGGGGCAACCCUGAUCCAGCGAUGCCGCGUGAGCGAAGAAGGCCUUAGGGUUGUAAAGCUCUUUCGCCCGCGACGAUGAUGACGGUAGCGGGAGAAGAAGCCCCGGCUAACUCCGUGCCAGCAGCCGCGGUAAUACGGAGAGGGCUAGCGUUGUCCGGAAUUACUGGGCGUAAAGCGCGCGUAGGCGGUCCACCAAGUCGGGGGUGAAAGCCCGGGGCUCAACCCCGGAAUGUCCUCCGAGACUGUUGGACUGGAGUUCGGGAGAGGAGAGCGGAAUUCCCAGUGUAGAGGUGAAAUUCGUAGAUAUUGGGAAGAACACCGGUGGCGAAGGCGGCUCUCUGGCCCGCAACUGACGCUGAGGCGCGAAAGCGUGGGGAGCAAAC
RNAcentral lists this ribosomal RNA (401 nucleotides) under uncultured bacterium. Its description in RNAcentral is "bacterial SSU rRNA". It matches the Rfam family "Bacterial small subunit ribosomal RNA", at positions 355 to 773 of the family's 1533-position model. The record is from RNAcentral.